Molecule: ribosomal RNA, 253 nt
Filed under: uncultured bacterium
Lineage: Bacteria
Description: partial 16S ribosomal RNA
Rfam family: Bacterial small subunit ribosomal RNA
Source: RNAcentral
UACGGAGGGUGCAAGCGUUAUCCGGAUUCACUGGGUUUAAAGGGUGCGUAGGCGGGCUUGUAAGUCCGUGGUGAAAUCUCUGAGCUUAACUCGGAAACUGCCAUGGAUACUAUAGGCCUUGAAUUCUGUGGAGGUUUGCGGAAUAUGUCAUGUAGCGGUGAAAUGCUUAGAUAUGACAUAGAACACCGAUUGCGAAGGCAGCAGGCUACACAGCGAUUGACGCUGAGGCACGAAAGCGUGGGGAUCAAACAGG